This 303-nucleotide long non-coding RNA is filed under the name Elaeis guineensis (African oil palm). RNAcentral's name for it is "long non-coding RNA (EGUI_LNC076157)". The record is from RNAcentral. Lineage: Eukaryota; Viridiplantae; Streptophyta; Magnoliopsida; Arecales; Arecaceae.
GGUGUGCUUCUUAUGCUCCUCGAGCUCCUUCUCAAAGUUUGCUUUCCUCUGACUGUACUCCAUGAUCUCCUUCAUGUGGAGGUUUCGAAAGUGGGUGGCCUCCGCGGUGGCCUCAGAGUAGCUCUCCCUCAACCUGCGAAGUUCGCCAUCCAUCUCCUCUGACCUUUUUGUUAAAUAAUGAACUUUAUUCUUUAGAUGUUGGAUCGUGGACUUCAGCAGAAUUCUCUGUGGCAAGGGAAGCGCUUCGGCAGGACAUUGCCAUUGGGAGACAAAAGCGUCAAGGCGCGUCUCAUUGCAAAAAGA